RNAcentral lists this ribosomal RNA (184 nucleotides) under Bacillus velezensis. RNAcentral's name for it is "partial 23S ribosomal RNA". It matches the Rfam family "Bacterial large subunit ribosomal RNA", at positions 2744 to 2925 of the family's 2925-position model. The record is from RNAcentral. Lineage: Bacteria; Bacillati; Bacillota; Bacilli; Caryophanales; Bacillaceae.
GGUAGCUAUGUGCGGACGGGAUAAGUGCUGAAAGCAUCUAAGCAUGAAGCCCCCUCAAGAUGAGAUUUCCCAUUCCGCAAGGAAGUAAGAUCCCUGAAAGAUGAUCAGGUUGAUAGGUCUGAGGUGGAAGUGUGGCGACACAUGGAGCUGACAGAUACUAAUCGAUCGAGGACUUAACCAAUUU